This 253-nucleotide ribosomal RNA is filed under the name uncultured bacterium. RNAcentral describes it as "partial 16S ribosomal RNA". It matches the Rfam family "Bacterial small subunit ribosomal RNA", at positions 524 to 776 of the family's 1533-position model. The record is from RNAcentral.
UACGUAGGGUGCAAGCGUUGUCCGGAAUUAUUGGGCGUAAAGAGCUCGUAGGCGGUUUGUCGCGUCGGCUGUGAAAUCCCGAGGCGCAACCUCGGGCCUGCAGUCGAUACGGGCAAACUAGAGUGCGGUAGGGGAGACUGGAAUUCCUGGUGUAGCGGUGAAAUGCGCAGAUAUCAGGAGGAACACCGAUGGCGAAGGCAGGUCACUGGGCCGCAACUGACGCUGAGGAGCGAAAGCAUGGGGAGCGAACAGG